ACGUGGUGAUAUUCAAGUAGACUCAGGGAAGGAGUCCGGGAGGCUAUAAAAGCAAGAAGUCAAACAAGCCAUGGCUCUCAGCAGAGGAGGUUUUAAAGAAAUAUUUCAACCAAGACACAACUUCAAAAGAGAGUUUCUGAUGGCAAUAAGAGAACGUUCUUCUACGCUUUCCUUUAAAAAGGUAUUUCAGGGCUUCCCUGGUGGCGCAGUGGUUAGGAGUCCACCUGCCAACGCGGGGGACACAGGUUCGAGCCCUGGUCCAGGAAGAUCCCACAUGCCACGGAGCAACUAAGCCCAUGCACCACUACUACUGAGCCUGCGUGCCACAACUACUGAAGCCAGUGCACCUAGAGCCCGUGCUCCGCAACGAGAAGCCACCGCAAUGAGAAGCCC
Eubalaena glacialis (North Atlantic right whale) is the source of this 393-nucleotide long non-coding RNA. RefSeq lists it as uncharacterized. NCBI's taxonomy places the organism in Eukaryota, Metazoa, Chordata, Mammalia, Artiodactyla, Balaenidae. The transcript has 3 exons. The record is from RefSeq and is a predicted model, not a curated record.